Molecule: long non-coding RNA, 980 nt
Organism: Oncorhynchus keta (chum salmon)
Lineage: Eukaryota; Metazoa; Chordata; Actinopteri; Salmoniformes; Salmonidae
Exons: 3
Source: RefSeq, a predicted model, not a curated record
AAAGUAUUGCACUAUAUAGGGAAUGCCAUGUGGGACACAGUCUCAAUCAUGGCCGGAACAGUACAGGUUAUCUUUCAGGCUGCGUAGAGGACCAGGGGAAAGAACAGUACAGGUUAUCUUUCAGGCUGCAUAGAGGACCAGGGGAGAGAACAGUACAGGUUAUCUUUCAGGCUGCAUAGAGGACCAGGGGAGAGAACAGUACAGGUUAUCUUUCAGGCUGCGUAGAGGACCAGAAGAGAGAACAGUACAGGUUAUCUUUCAGGCUGCGUAGAGGACCAGGGGAGAGAACAGUACAGGUUAUCUUUCAGGCUGCGUAGAGGACCAGGGGAGAGAACAGUACAGGUUAUCUUUCAGGCUGCGUAGAGGACCAGGGGAGAGAACAGUACAGGUUAUCUUUCAGGCUGCGUAGAGGACCAGGGGAGAGAACAGUACAGGUUAUCUUUCAGGCUGCGUAGAGGACCAGAAGAGAGAACAGUACAGGUUAUCUUUCAGGCUGCGUAGAGGACCAGGGGAGAGAACAGUACAGGUUAUCUUUCAGGCUGCGUAGAGGACCAGGGGAGAGAACAGUACAGGUUAUCUUUCAGGCUGCGUAGAGGACCAGGGGAGAGAACAGUACAGGUUAUCUUUCAGGCUGCGUAGAGGACCAGAAGAGAGAACAGUACAGGUUAUCUUUCAGGCUGCGUAGAGGACCAGAAGAGAGAACAGUACAGGUUAUCUUUCAGGCUGCGUAGAGGACCAGAAGAGAGAACAGUACAGGUUAUCUUUCAGGCUGCGUAGAGGACCAGAAGAGAGAACAGUACAGGUUAUCUUUCAGGCUGCGUAGAGGACCAGAAGAGAGAACAGUACAGGUUAUCUUCCCUGUGUCCUGAUGUCUCUUUCUUGCUACAACAGAUGAAUAGGAACUCCUGCGUUGCUUCAUCCCCGUUCCCACAGGAGACCUUUUGCCUUUUGUAGGCCGUCAUUUUAAAUAAGAAUUUGUU